GGGGGGGGGGGGGGGGGGGCGUGAGAGAGGGGUGUGGGGGGGGAGGGCUCUGCUUGUGUGGGGUGAGGGGGUGGGGUGGGUGUGUGUAAGACGUGAGUAACCUGCCGUUGUCUUUGGGUUGACUUCAUGGAACUGUGGUUCGUACUGGAUCGGCACUUCUGCUGCCGGGUAGGGGUUGUGUAUUUUCGUGGGUUGGGGUUGUACUCGCGGCGUAUGAGCUGGGAGGUGGGGUAGUGGUUUACCAAGGCUUUGACGGGUAGUCGGCAUGAGCGGGUGACAGGACACAUUGGGACUGAGAUACGGCCCAGACUCCGACGGGAGGCAGCAGUGGGGAAUAUUGCACAAUGGGCGGAAGCCUGAUGCAGCAACGCCGCGUGCGUGAUGACGGCCUUCGGGUAGUAAACCGCUUUCGCCUGUGACGAAGCGUGAGUGACGGUAAUGGGUAAAGAAGCACCGGCUAACUACGUG
This 468-nucleotide ribosomal RNA is filed under the name uncultured bacterium. RNAcentral describes it as "partial 16S ribosomal RNA". It matches the Rfam family "Bacterial small subunit ribosomal RNA", at positions 39 to 507 of the family's 1533-position model. The record is from RNAcentral.